This 397-nucleotide ribosomal RNA is filed under the name bacterium enrichment culture. Its description in RNAcentral is "bacterial SSU rRNA". It matches the Rfam family "Bacterial small subunit ribosomal RNA", at positions 521 to 916 of the family's 1533-position model. The record is from RNAcentral.
UAAUACGUAGGGGGCAAGCGUUGUCCGGAAUGAUUGGGCGUAAAGGGCGCGUAGGCGGCCUGGUAAGUCUGGAGUGAAAGUCCUGCUUUUAAGGUGGGAAUUGCUUUGGAUACUGCUGGGCUUGAGUGCAGGAGAGGUAAGUGGAAUUCCCGGUGUAGCGGUGAAAUGCGUAGAGAUCGGGAGGAACACCAGUGGCGAAGGCGACUUACUGGACUGUAACUGACGCUGAGGCGCGAAAGUGUGGGGAGCAAACAGGAUUAGAUACCCUGGUAGUCCACACUGUAAACGAUGAAUGCUAGGUGUAGGGGGUAUCGACCCCUUCUGUGCCGGAGUCAACACAAUAAGCAUUCCGCCUGGGGAGUACGGCCGCAAGGUUGAAACUCAAAGGAAUUGACGG